AACACAUGCAAGUCGAGCGGUAAGGCACCUUCGGGUGUACACGAGCGGCGAACGGGUGAGUAACACGUGAGUAACCUGCCCUUCUCAUCGGAAUAAACGUUGGAAACGACGUCUAAUGCCGAAUAUGACUUCGGACCGCAUGGUCUGAGGUGGAAAGCUCCGGCGGAGAAGGAUGGACUCGCGGCCUAUCAGCUUGUUGGUGAGGUAAUGGCUCACCAAGGCGACGACGGGUAGCCGGCCUGAGAGGGUGACCGGCCACACUGGGACUGAGACACGGCCCAGACUCCUACGGGAGGCAGCAGUGGGGAAUAUUGGACAAUGGGCGAAAGCCUGAUCCAGCAACGCCGCGUGAGGGAUGACGGCCUUCGGGUUGUAAACCUCUUUCAGUAGGGACGAAGCGAAAGUGACGGUACCUACAGAAGAAGGACCGGCCAAC
RNAcentral lists this ribosomal RNA (436 nucleotides) under grassland soil clone sl1_217. RNAcentral's name for it is "bacterial SSU rRNA". It matches the Rfam family "Bacterial small subunit ribosomal RNA", at positions 50 to 501 of the family's 1533-position model. The record is from RNAcentral.